Molecule: RNA transcript, 9621 nt
Organism: Meriones unguiculatus (Mongolian gerbil)
Lineage: Eukaryota; Metazoa; Chordata; Mammalia; Rodentia; Muridae
Gene name: bcl-2-binding component 3, isoforms 3/4-like
Exons: 10
Source: RefSeq, a predicted model, not a curated record
UUCAAGUGUAGCCUUUGUAAGCCUGAUAAUCACUAUGUCACUCAAGCUGACCUUGAACUCCUCUGCCUCCAUCUCUGGGGUUCUGGAAUUACAGCCAUGUACCAUCAUACCAAGCUUAAAAGGGUUCCUACUUUUAACAAUUUCGCAACAAAGGCCAUUUGACCAAAUCAACCUCUCAUCUAUUUUAGAACCUUCCCAGGUUAACAACAGAUGAGUAAAAGGCAGGAAUGGGAAAAUUAUAUGCUUGGGCGUACGCGGCAGGGGGUUGUUGUUAAAAUACCUAGAGGUGAAAUGCCCUGCAAACUGACCGGGAAGACAGUGAGAAAGCCUGAAUGUCAAUAUUGGUCCCAUCUACACUUAAAGCUCUGCGGAGCCGCUGCAAUACCCACAUAGCUCUCAGCAAAGCUGGGAAGAACUAACCAGAGGCCAGACAAAACGCAAGCGAGUGGUUCCGAACGCUGAAUCACCAGUUCGCAGCAGACACACAGGGCUACUUUGGGGUAAGGAGCGACUGGAGAAAUUAAGUUUAAUUCAUUUCAAACGUGAAAGGCUGGUGUGUUCUGAAGAGACGGCAGAAGGGUAAUAAACGUUUGGAGGGUAGGAGAGGGUUAAAAAGCAAGAGCACCGACAAUCCAGUGGGGGAAAGGCGGCCUGUCUUGCUUGGGAAAUGUGCAUCUGGAAACCGCAGGACACAGAUCAAAGCCACUCUCUCCAGCCACCUGCCCAGAAACUCAGCCAGACACUGCGGGACAUAGGACAAGUGGGCAUGUGCUUCUUUUCUAAACCCAACAGGUGGCCAGACUUAGGGUCUAGACACAGCUGAGCGCUGGGACGGGUGUAAAAUGAGCGCCUGGGUCCUUCCUGAGCUCUAGGUCCAGCCCUGACGUCCUACCUGGAUGCCACCUGCACUACGGAGUCGCAAAGCAGGCGAGAGAGCAGGAGCAGAGCUUUCCGCACGGGGACAGCGCCGGGAGCAGGCGCGCGCUCCACAGCCCUCCGCCCGGUCCCUGCCCGCCCGCAUCCCGGAGCCCGCGUGUCCUCACCUCGCGGGGACAGCUGCAGCGCUGGCGACGGCGAGCCCACAUGCCCCCUGCGCGGCGGCCCCUUUCCCGUCCCCGGGAGUCGGUCGCGGUCGAGGGGCGGGGAGCGCAAUGGGCGGAGGCGCCUCAGGGGCCCGGGCCGCAAGCAGAGCCGCCGGACAGUGUCGCCGGGGAGAUCCCACCGCCCCGCCCCCGAGAAGCAAAGCACUCAGCUAUGCCAGCCCCGAGGGUGACUGAGCAUACUGGCGAAAAGGCCUUGUCCCGGGAUCGGACCACGGGUGAGGGGCGCGGGGAGGAGGGGUGCCUCCCGGUUAUGUAAUGCUCCGGCCAAGUCGCGAGCUUCCUCGCUAGGGACUGCAGGGCUCUCCCUGGAACAGCCUGAGAUCUACACUGAAGGAGGAAGCUGGAUGUCCUCAAAAGCAGUAUUUCCCUGAGCGAUCAAAGAGCAGAAGGUUCCCUGUGCUCUGUCCAAAGUUUGGGUGUGAGUCUUUGUAUCUGCUUCAAUCUCUGCUGGGUAGAGUCAUUCAGAGGACAUUUAUGACAGGUGUGGGCCACAUGGAAGGAAGUGGACAGAGGAAAGACACCUCCUUUCUCGUAAGUUGAAAAGUCGGAGCUGCUGGAGGUGGGGAGAAAAGCCCACUUGCUCAUACUCCCUGGAAGAAAAGCAGAGGUGAGAGCCUGGAAGCCAAGCAGGGGAGGAAGUACAGCAAGAAUACCUGCUCCCUCACAUCUGAUCGCCCUCCAAAUCUGACCAGUCUCUCGUCCUCCACCACCACUCCAGGUGAUAGCUGAUCACUAUGGCCAAUCUCCAGCAGGAGUCAAAUAGACACCCCCACAAGGUCAGAGGAAGCCUGGGAGGAGCCACGGAAUCUUACUAUCAGGGUACUCCACACAUUGCUUGAGGUGAUGAAUAGACGAAUCGUGGCAGAUGCAGUUCUUACCCAGAGCUACCAGCUGCCGAAUGUGGAUGCCUACUCAUCUGUGAAGACCCAUCAAAGAAAGGUGUUCUCUAAAAAUUAUAGCUGGAUAUCUCAUGGACAUCUCUAAGGGGAAAGUAAAGUAUGUUGUCCCGAAUUUGACAUUAUAUAAAUAUACUGUUGGAAUUCAAACAACACUAAAAGAAAUGCCUUAUAUCGUCUUGGCUGUGAAUUGAAUGUGAAAUGUCCUUCAGUAAGGCCCACUGGAAGACUUGGUCCCACCCGGUGGUGCUUUUUGAGAAAGUUUGGAUCACUGGGAAUGGGCCUUCAAGUUUCAUAGGCCACCCCCAUUUCCUGUUCACCCUCAGCUGCCAGAGUGUUGACCCAACGCUACCACUAGCUUCCUGCUCCUGCCUCCAUUCCCUUUGUGCCUGCUGCCACGCCUUCCCAGGCAUGAUGGACUGUGUCCCUCCAGGAACUGUGAGCUAAAACAAACCAUGUCUUUCUUAAGUUACUUUUGUUGGAGCAUUUUCUCACUGGAAAAGAAAUGAGGGCCUAUUUUAGCAGUUUUAUUUCCCUGUCCGGUGUCACAGCUCCUCGGGGGUCACUAGAAUGGCUUCCUCCCCUUUACCUCAGCUGUUCUUCUCUCACUGCUCAACUUGUACGACCAGCCUUCUCAACACGGCUUGUUUCCAGCAUCCCUUCUACCAGAAACUUUUCUCCUGUUGCUCCUCUUAUUUCAUCCUCUCCCUCUCUCUGUCUCUCUCUGUGUGCCUCUGUUUCUCUCUGUCUCUCUUUCUGUCUCUGUCUCUAUGUCUCUUUCUGUCUCUGUUGCUCUCUCUCUUUCCCUUUUGGGAUAGGAUCUCAUUAUAUAGAUAGCCUUACUCUGAUAAUACUCCUGCCCCAUCCUCCUGAGUGCUAGGAUUACAGUUAUGUAAUCCAUCUCACAGGCCAUCUCAUGGACCCAAUUUUCUGAAUCCAGAUGACCUUCAUUUGCCAGUUAGCAAAAUGUGUUCCACUCACCCUUCAAGACCAUGCUCCUGAUGUCACCAUUUUAUCAAAGCUUCCCUCCUCCCUCUCCCUCUCCCUCUCUCUUCUUUCUUUGACUGAACACAGAGCCUUCCAUGGUGCACCACUGAGCUUUGUCCUUAGUCCUGUUAUAACCUUUCUUGUCCUAUAAGAUCACCACAUUCUUGAGAAUGUCUAGGGACUGGCCCUUCCUCCCUCAACCGUCUUGCUUGUAGAUAUCUGACAGGAUUCUUCAUGGUACAGUUCAGAUCUCAACUUCGGUUGGUGCCUGCAACUUCCUUUGCAAACCAUCAGAAGGAAAAAAAAAAGAUGAUUAAUUGUUAGAGAAGGGAAUGGACAGGCAGUUAGAAAAUAAAUCACAUUCAGUAAGACAACAAUUUAGAAUCCAAAUACCAACCUAUAGACACUCACAGUGUAAUGCUUUCAACUUUUUGUUUCAAAUUUUCAAAAUAAAUAGUAAAAUAAUAAUAAUAAUAAGCUGAUAUUAAAAAUAAGCCUCCUAAGUUUCCACAAAGCCUGUACUACCCCAAGUCUAGCAUAAUAAUUAAGGAAGCAGGCAUAGAUAUCAGACAGAUCUGAGUUCAAGGCCCAGAUCCACUGUUUGUCUGCUGGGUGACCUUGGACAAGCUGCAUGUCAACUUUAACUUUUAGUUUCUUCACUAAUUUAUCUUCCCCAUAAGACUGUUGUGGAAGUUGAAGGACAAAUAUAACUGUGAAGUACCUGGCACAGUAACCGAAGCUAGAACUAAAUACAUUUUAGCUAAGAAUAAACACAAACAUUCCUCCUUUGAACACCUACAGCAUACAAUACUUGAUGGGAAACAGUUCCUCUGUCCUGUUCACUGUUCCUCAGAUGCCGAGGGGGUGUGAUUUCUUCUCACUCUUCCCUCAUAUAAUACAUCCCGACUGCAGUUUCCCCUAUAGCCCUCCCAGUGCCCUCCUCCCAUCACACACCUCUCCUCUCACCCAGAUCCACUCCUCCUUAGUCUCCCUUCAGAAAAGAGCAGGCCUUCCAGGGAUAUCAGCCAAACAUGACCUAACAGGUUGCAAUAAAACCAGACAGCCACAUAUCAGAGCUGGGCGAUGCAGCCUAAUAGGAGGAAAAGGGUCCCAACAGCAGGCAAAAGAGUAAGCGAGACCUUCCCACACACAGUUAGGAGUUCCACAAAAAAUGCAAGCUAACGACCAUAGCAUAUUUGAGAGAACCAAGCACAGACCCAUAUCAGCUCUCUGGUUGCUGUUUCAUUCUCUAAGAACCCCUGGGAGCCCUGUUUAGUUGAUUCUGUGGACCAUGAUCUCCUGGUGUCCUCAACCUCUCUGGCUCCUACAAUUUUUCCUUCCCCUCUUCCAUGGGUUUCCCAGGCUAUGAGGGGAAGGACCUGAUGGAGAUCUCCAAUUUGGGCUCUCUCUCCACUGAAUGUUUGGUUGUGGGUCACAGAGUAUGAAUUUAAUUAAUCUCUACAGAGCAAGUUGUGCAACAAGUAAAUUCUAGUUAUGUGUCACUUCUCCUGAUGGCCUCUGAUGUUUCUUAGGUAGAUUCAUUCAUUCAACUAGUGUCUGUGAGGAAACUACUCGAAACAUCAACAACCCCUUGCAGAGCUCUGACAGGCCUACUCCUCACCUAUUUCUUUGUUAGUGAAAUUAGAAUAUUAGAAUAUUGUCCCAAAUAAAAUGUGGAAAUAAUGGGGCCAAUUCCCCAAGGCUUGACCCAUGGACUUUCAAACCUAUUUUUCUUGAUCUCACUAGAUCUACACUCAGGCUUUGUAUCAAUACUAGAGUCAAUGGCAUUGGGCUUCGCUUUCCCAUUAGUAUGAUCAAAAUGAUCCAAUAUGUCAUUUAUUCUUUUCUCCACGUAUGUGUUUUGUUUUAGCAUUUUGGUUUUCUCAUAUUUUAUUUAAAUAAAGUUAUUUACUUUCCUUAGCAUUAAGGUUGGCUACCAUAAAAAGCCAAAAUGUUACACUCAGGAUGCGAGGCUAAGCACUGCACACUCAGGGUCAGCCGCUUUCGACCCAGAGAAGAGCAUGUCUGAUUGCAUGCGGGUUGAUGCCCCAGGUCCCGCCUCUGAGAAAAAGGUAUCAGACGGGUCUGAUGCUCUUUGGGUGGAUGACACCUAAAUGAACAUCAGUACAAAGUCCCAAUUUAUUUCUAAUAUCAGAGAUCAGACCUCUACUCUUGCCUGAUGCGUCUAAAACAAAAAGGGGGAACUGUAGAGAGCUGCAUAAUGCCGCGCCUGAAAGAUGGAGCUGGUUUCCGCCUUCCACCUUCCCGAUGAAGGGAGAGAAAUGACCGUGGGGCUGGCCUAUUGGACUAUUGGAGUUCACGCGGGGACAGCUUGAGUCAGCUGGGCUGUUUAUUCCAAGGCUCAGACACUGAGUGAGUUCAGCCAGCAGGUGCAUAGAUGAGCCCACCAAGACCAAAUCAGAACCAUAGAAUUUCCCAGCCAACUACCUAUUUGUGUGCACAUUUGUUUAUAUGUUGAAUUACAUUGAUGGAUUUCUGUAUAUUGAACCACCCCUGAAUGCCUGGGAUGAAGCCUACUCGGUCAUGGUGAAUGUGUUCUUGGAUUCAGUUUGAUGUUCUCAAAACCCAACUUGGAUGACAUUGCCAACGUCAGCUGGUUCCCAGUGCACCGUGAUAGUCUGCACUCCCCUGUGCUUCUGGACCACAAGUGUGAAAGUGUUGAAAAUCCGCUUCUCUUUUUGUGCCACGUGGGAGGUGUUGAGCAUGAAGGAGAAGUUAUUUACCGGCACAUGGACAACUCUUAACCAGUGGCUACAGACGAUCUCCCCCUUUUCAUCAGUGAUCACAAAAAGCCAACUGCUUAUGGUGGAAAGUGGGAAGGAGAGCUGGCGAAUCCUCCUCCCUGGCAACCUUAACUGCCGGCAAAUUCUCAGAGACUAGUGUGGCUGUGUGAGAUGCUCCCCUACCCAUGAGUGACAACGGAAGCACCUGGUUUUGUGAAGAUCUUAAAUGGCCACACAACGCCUCCCUUUUCUAGGUCUCUUCAAUUUUUGCCUUUCCUCUUUUGCAAUGCUCCCAGUUCCCUUGGCCUUGGAGAGGGUGAUACUGUGCCCUGCUGAGGUCUAAGCACUCAAUAAUAAGGAUAAUAACUUAUCUUCAGGACUUGGACCAGUUGUGAAUCUCUGCAGUGACUGCCUCCCACUGAAAAAAGCUCCUCAAAACAAAGCUGACAGCAACUCUAGUUUAUCAGCAUAAACAUAAAUAUUUAUAUAGCGGUUUGACAAGCAUGUGCUUUCCAUAUAGUGGGAAAGACGUUAAAGGUCAUGCCUGAUUCAAGCUCGACUUCUCUAUCCAGUGCUAGGUCAGAGCCUGUAAGAGUCGAAUGCAGGAACCUACCCUUGCCAACAUUCCCUGCAAAGUUGUUCAACUCUUAUAGCUAUAAAUUUGAACACUAGAAAAAUCAUGAAGAGUGCAGUUCCCCCUUCUCCUACCUGACAGCUUUACUUCGGAAGAGGCUGUUAAACAUGGUUUUGCAACUCAACUCUUAGUGAUAAAAAUCUGCUUCUUCUAAGCUGAAGUGUGAAACCAAUUAUUGUUUCCAAGGUGUCUAGCAAGACUGGGCCAAUAAACAAAUGCUGACACUACAAUACAAGUAGCAGUUAUUCGAUGAUUAGCACUAUGGAAGGAUUAGGAAACGAUGUCUUCAAGUUUGCAGGGCUACAUAUUUGGAAUUCGCACGGCAUCCCAAAGUUGCGCAAACUUUGGAGCUUUAAAAAGUCAGAUCUUGACUAAGGAGAUGGCUCAGUCCAUAAAAUGUUUGUCACGUAGCAGGAAGACCUGAGUUCAAGCCUCCUUCAUCCACAUGAAAAGCUGAAUGGAACACUAUGCUUCUAUAAUCCCAGAGCUGGGGAGGCAGAAAGACUUUCUGGAUAGCUGUCCCAAGCUAAAUUGGUAAAUUCCAGGCCAAUAGGAGACUGUCUCAAAAAGUAAGGUGGGGAGCGAUUGAGGAAGAUGUCUAAUGCCCAUGUAACUCCCCACCCCACCACCCUGCUCCUGAGCAUCACACGUAUGUGCACACAUCCGAGAAGACACAUACAAGACUUAGAGUCUGGCUGUGUAACUCGAUGGUACAGCUUCCCUUAGUAUACAUUAAGACUCAUCCAAGCCCUGGGGACAUGCACCCCCUCCCAACUUCAAAUCUCAAUGCCAUAUUCCCUUUUGAAAAGAUUAACCUCUAUAUUUAUAAAUAAAGUCAUGUUGUUAUGAUGUUUCUACCGAUGAUCAUUAAAAUGCCACAGAUGAAAUUAUCCUUAAUUUUUUUCCGAGUUCAAGCUUGACAAUGGAUAUGGAUCCGCACAGGUGGAUUUGGCCAAGACAAUCCUCAUGUUUAUUUCAUGAGCACAAAAGACUGUUUUGAACAGCUGAAGUCAAAUGUGAAGUUCAGAACACAGGCUAAAGUACACAAAGAACUGUGCAGUUACCCAUUCCUGGCAGAGGAAACAGAACUCAACUGUUGUAGACAGCUAUCUAUUUGCUUGGCUGUUUUCAAAAACUGUGGGGGAGGAGAAGGAAGCUGCAGAUAAUUGCCUCACGUCUCCAUCUCCUUCUGCCUGUCUAAACACUGCAUACUUAGCUACUUGCUGGCAGCACUCAAACUGACAAAAUGCCUGCUCAUUUUAGAAUUUAGAAUCCAAUAUAAAUAGUAAUUGAACCCCAGAGGAGAAUGCCUAAUAGUGCUGAACUGAAAAUUCAAGGUGGUUUUGACUUACCUAAUUUCAGCCCAUGCUCUUACAGAAUUCAAUACAAAAAUACGCUCAGCUUACAGUCAAAACAUUGUGGUGUUUAGAAAACGAUUCUCCUUUUAAAUUUAAAAGCAUGCCCUUUUUCAGGCAUGCUGAUCUACAGCUUUAAUCACAGCACUGGGGAGGCAGAGACAGGCGGAACUCUGUAAGUUCAAGGUCAGUGAAGAAGCAUCAUGCCUCUAUCUUAUGCUUAAAAGCCAUGUUAUAGUAAAGACAAACUAGAUUCGUUCCUGGUUAUGAUUAAACCUCUGUGUUUCAAGAAUUGGGCUAUGUCCCUACCUACAGACUUAACUACAAAUGUUUCUGUAUUGCACCCUCUAGGAUUGGCAAUCGUGUCUUUGUUUCAAAAGUUGUUUAUAACCGUCUUGCGAACCUACCUUUGUUUCAAAAGGUUAUAUGACCAUCUGUGACUACCUGUUGUUCUGACUACCUUUCAACCAUGUCAUUGUUUCGGGAGGCCAUGAGGACUAAUUUGUUAUGAUGUUCUGCUCCUCUACUUCGAACUGUUUUGCCUGCCAAAUCCCCCAACUGGAAACCCUCUACCCCUCAGCUAUACCAGCGUUGUCUUCCUCAGAUUCAAUGCUGAUCUUUUAAAACAUGGGAAGGCAGCCCAUGUACAUGAAUGAAAAAACUUGCUUUAUUAAUCACUUGCUUUGAUUAAUUUUGCCAUGAUAAUUUGAAUCCAUAGUCUUUCUCCUCCCAUCUUUGGGAUUAACAUCUGCCUAUUCCACAUAGCAAGCUCCACGACAGCCAGGGUUACAUAGAGAGACAACCAACUCCAUAUAUGUGUGUGUAUAUAUAUACACAUAUACAAAAUAUAUGUAUACAUAUACACACUCGUGUACACAUGCUGACUAAAAGUUUUAGUAUAAAUUAUGCAUCCUUCACUUAUAAGAUUAAUUUGUGAGAUAUACAGUAAAUAUAUAUGCACCUCCACACACACCACAAAAAUGCCAGAAAUACACAGACUAACACAUUAUAUGGGAGAUUUUAAUAUAUUAAGGUACAUAAACUUAAGUAGUAAUAGAAAGCACUUCUUUUAGUCAGGUGUGGUGUCACAUGCCUGUAAUCUCAGCAUUAGUGAGGCUGAGACAUUAAUAUAAAGAGUUUGAGACCAGCCUGGACUAUAUAACAAGACCAUAUCAAAAGAAAGAAAUGUUUUUUUUUUAUUUGAAGUUCUCUUGAAAAUCACGAAUUAUGUAUCUCCUAAAGACAUAUGCGAAGAUAUGGACCAUCUGUCUUUCCUAUGGAAUGUGAUAAAGCAGACAGCUACAUCUCAAAGACCAAGUUGCAUAAAUUCUUUGUUGACCUUGGACAAUAUGCACUGAACGGGAAAAGAAGAAGAAAGAAAAGUCUAAUACACACACACAAAAAAAAAAAAAUUAGUCACAAUUAUUUUCUGGUGCUUUAUAGUCUAAGAAAAUAUUGAACUCUUCAAACCUUGUGCUUAUGCUUUCCACGAGAAAAUCCAUUUGAAGAGAGGACGAGGAAGAAAGAAGAGGAGAAGGAAUACAUUUGUCCUGGCUAGUUUUAUGUCAACUUUCCACAGUACAGUCAUUAGAAGAGGGAGCCUCAAUUGAGAAAAUGGCUUUAUAACAGGGAGCAGCAUGUAAUUUUCUUAAUUAGCAAUUAAUGUGGGAGGGUCCAGCCCACUGUGGGUGGUGCCAUCCCUGGGCUGGUGGUCCUGGGUUCUAUAAGAAAGCAGGCUGAGCAAGCCAGCAGGAGCAAGCCAGUAAGCAGCACCCUUCCACAGCCUCUGCAUAAGCUCCUGCCUCCAGGAGCUGCCCUGUGUGAAAUCCUAUCCUGGUUCCUUUGAUGAUGGGCUACAAUGUGGAAGUGAAAGCCCAAUAAACCUUUUCUUCAUCAACUUGA